UACUGCACUAAAAUCUUUUUUUAAUCCAACAUCGAGGUCGCAAACUUUUUUAUUAAUAAAAACUCUCCAAAAAAAUUACGCUGUUAUCCCUAAGGUAACUUAAUCUUAUAAUCAAUAAAAUUGGAUCAAAAAAAUCAUAAACCAAUGAACAUUUAUAAAAUAAAGUUUUUAAAAUUUAACUGUCACCCCAACAAAACUUAAAUAUAAAUUAAUAAAAAUGAACAACUAAAAUUAUAAUAAUAUACAAUCAAGUAAAGUUCUAUAGGGUCUUCUCGUCUAAUAAAAUUAUUUCAGCUUUUUAACUAAAAAAGAAAAUUAUUUAAAAUAAAACAAAUAAAGAAUAUUUCUCAUCCAAUCAUUCAUACUAUUCCCCAAUUAAAAGACAAAUGAUUAUGCUACCUUUGCACAGUUAAAAUACUGCGGCCAUUAAAUUAAAUCAGUG
RNAcentral lists this ribosomal RNA (442 nucleotides) under Amphiareus obscuriceps. RNAcentral describes it as "partial 16S rRNA". Lineage: Eukaryota; Metazoa; Arthropoda; Insecta; Hemiptera; Anthocoridae. The record is from RNAcentral.